AGAGUUUGAUCCUGGCUCAGGAUGAACGCUGGCGGCGUGCCUAAUACAUGCAAGUCGAGCGAAUGGAUUAAGAGCUUGCUCUUAUGAAGUUAGCGGCGGACGGGUGAGUAACACGUGGGUAACCUGCCCAUAAGACUGGGAUAACUCCGGGAAACCGGGGCUAAUACCGGAUAACAUUUUGCACCGCAUGGUGCGAAAUUGAAAGGCGGCUUCGGCUG
RNAcentral lists this ribosomal RNA (218 nucleotides) under uncultured bacterium. RNAcentral describes it as "partial 16S ribosomal RNA". It matches the Rfam family "Bacterial small subunit ribosomal RNA", at positions 8 to 217 of the family's 1533-position model. The record is from RNAcentral.